GCCAACGUAGCUCAGGGGUAGAGCAAUUCUUUCGUAAAGAAUAGGUCGUGGGUUCGAAUCCCACCGUUGGCU
This 72-nucleotide transfer RNA is filed under the name Chloroflexota bacterium. Its description in RNAcentral is "tRNA-Thr". It matches the Rfam family "tRNA". From Rfam's summary of the family: Transfer RNA (tRNA) molecules are approximately 80 nucleotides in length. Their secondary structure includes four short double-helical elements and three loops (D, anti-codon, and T loops). Further hydrogen bonds mediate the characteristic L-shaped molecular structure. tRNAs have two regions of fundamental functional importance: the anti-codon, which is responsible for specific mRNA codon recognition, and the 3' end, to which the tRNAs corresponding amino acid is attached (by aminoacyl-tRNA synthetases). tRNAs cope with the degeneracy of the genetic code in two manners: having more than one tRNA (with a specific anti-codon) for a particular amino acid; and 'wobble' base-pairing, i.e. permitting non-standard base-pairing at the 3rd anti-codon position. RNAcentral also lists the same sequence under 1 other name. Lineage: Bacteria; Bacillati; Chloroflexota. The record is from RNAcentral.